This 1668-nucleotide ribosomal RNA is filed under the name Lepidocephalichthys sp. CBM-ZF-14149. Its description in RNAcentral is "16S rRNA". It matches the Rfam family "Bacterial large subunit ribosomal RNA". Lineage: Eukaryota; Metazoa; Chordata; Actinopteri; Cypriniformes; Cobitidae. The record is from RNAcentral.
GCCAAACAGCUAGCUUACAAUUAUUUAACUAGAAAAUAUAAAUAAAAUCUUUAACUUAAAUUAUUAAACAAACCAUUUUUCUGCUUUAGUACGGGCGACGGAAAAAGCUCAAUAAGCAAUAGAAGAAGUACCGCAAGGGAAAGCUGAAAAAGCAAUGAAACAAAUCAUCAAUAGCGCAAAAAAGCAGAGACUAAACCUCGUACCUUUUGCAUCAUGAUUUAGCAAGCACUUAUAAGCAAAGAGACCUUUAGUUUUAAACCCCGAAACCAAGUGAGCUACCCCGAGACAGCCUAUCCCGGGCCAACCCGUCUCUGUGGCAAAAGAGUGGGAAGAUCUUUGGGUAGAGGUGACAGACCUACCGAACUUGGUGAUAGCUGGUUGCCUGAGAAAUGAAUAGAAGUUCAGCCUCGUAGGUCCCUCUAUCAAGCUAGUAAAAGCUACAGUAGUAAAAAGGAAACACAUGAGAGUUAGUUAAAGGGGGUACAGCCCAUUUAACCAAGGACACAACCUUAACAGGUGAAUAAGGAUUAUAAUUUUUUAGAUCCGUCGUUUUAGUGGGCCUAAAAGCAGCCAUCUAAGCAGAAAGCGUUAAAGCUCAGACGACAAAAAAUCUUUUAUAUUAAUAGCUAAUCCUACUUCCCUAAAAAUAUCAGGCCACUCCAUGCCCCCAUGGAAGAAAUUAUGCUAAAAUGAGUAACAAGAGAAAAAACUUCUCUCCUUACACAAGUGUAAGCCGGAUCGGACAAACCACCGGCAUUUAACGGACCCAGAAAGAGGGAAGCACAAACAUCUUACUAAACAAGAAAAACUUAUGCACAAAACCCGUUGACCCUACACUGGAGUGUAUUAUGGAAAGACAAAAAGAAAAGGAAGGAACUCGGCAAACACAAGCCUCGCCUGUUUACCAAAAACAUCGCCUCCUGCAAACAUCUAAGUAUAGGAGGUCCAGCCUGCCCAGUGACCCAAAGUUCAACGGCCGCGGUAUUUUGACCGUGCAAAGGUAGCGCAAUCACUUGUCUUUUAAAUGAAGACCUGUAUGAAUGGCUAAACGAGGGCUUAACUGUCUCCCUUUUCAAGUCAGUGAAAUUGAUCUGCCCGUGCAGAAGCGGACAUAAAACUACAAGACGAGAAGACCCUUUGGAGCUUUAGGUACAAGUUCAACCAUGUAAAACAGCCCCCAAACAGCUUAAAACCUAAUGGCUAUGCAACUUUACCUUCGGUUGGGGCGACCACGGAGAAAAAAUCAUCCUCCGAGUGGACUGGGGUAAUAACCCUAAAACCAAGAAAGACAUUUCUAAGUCACAGAAAAUCUGACCAAAAAUGAUCCGGUUAAUAAACCGAUCAACGGACCAAGUUACCCUAGGGAUAACAGCGCAAUCCUCUCCCAGAGUCCAUAUCGACGAGGGGGUUUACGACCUCGAUGUUGGAUCAGGACAUCCUAAUGGUGCAGCCGCUAUUAAGGGUUCGUUUGUUCAACGAUUAAAGUCCUACGUGAUCUGAGUUCAGACCGGAGUAAUCCAGGUCAGUUUCUAUCUGUAACGCCACUUUUCCUAGUACGAAAGGACCGGAAAAAGGAGGCCCAUGCCAAAAGCACGCCUCACCUAUAAUUAAUGAGACAAACUCAAUUAAGUAAAUAGGGGCCUCACAAACAGGCCAAGAUAAAGCCUU